AGCGAACGCUGGCGGCAGGCUUAACACAUGCAAGUCGAGCGGGCACUUCGGUGUCAGCGGCAGGCGGGUGAGUAACACGUGGGAACGUACCCUUUGGUUCGGAAUAACGCUGGGAAACUAGCGCUAAUACCGGAUACGCUCUUUUGGGGAAAGGCUUGCUGCCGAAGGAUCGGCCCGCGUCUGAUUAGCUAGUUGGUGGGGUAAUGGCCUACCAAGGCGACGAUCAGUAGCUGGUCUGAGAGGAUGAUCAGCCACACUGGCGCUGAGACACGGCCCAGACUCCUACGGGAGGGAGCGGUGGGGAGUAUUGGACAAUGGGCGCAAGCCUGAUCCAGCCAUGCCGCGUGAGUGAUGAAGGCCUUAGGGUUGUAAAGCCCUUUUGUCCGGGACGAUAAUGACGGUACCGGAAGAAUAAGCCCCGGCUAACUUCGUG
RNAcentral lists this ribosomal RNA (433 nucleotides) under uncultured bacterium. RNAcentral's name for it is "partial 16S ribosomal RNA". It matches the Rfam family "Bacterial small subunit ribosomal RNA", at positions 29 to 507 of the family's 1533-position model. The record is from RNAcentral.